UCCGGUUUGGCACCGGCAGUCUCCCAUGAGUCCCCGACAUAACUCGCUGGCAACAUGGGAUAGGGGUCGCGCUCGUUGCGCCACUUAAGGCAACACCUCACGGCACGAGCUGACGACAGCCAUGCAGCACCUGUGCGGGCACCAAGGCACCUCUGCCAAGUUCCGGGCAUGUCAAGGGUAGGUAAGGUUCUUCGCGUUGCGUCGAAUUAAACCACAUGCUCCACCGCUUGUGCGGGCCCCCGUCAAUUCCUUUGAGUUUCAACCUUGCGGUCGUACUCCCCAGGCGGGGUACUUCCUGCGUUAGCGCCGGCACCCAGAGGGUCGCUCCCCCAGGCACCUAGUACCCAUCGUUUACGGCGUGGACUAC
This 367-nucleotide unclassified non-coding RNA is filed under the name uncultured bacterium. Its description in RNAcentral is "contains 16S-23S intergenic spacer region". The record is from RNAcentral.